AGAGUUUGAUCCUGGCUCAGGAUGAACGCUAGCGGGAGGAUUAACACAUGCAAGUCGAGGGGUAACAUUGGAGCUUGCUUCAGAUGACGACCGGCGCACGGGGGUGAGUAACGCGUAUGCAACCUACCUCAAACAGGGGGAUAGCUCAGGGAAACCUGGAUUAAUACCCCAUAAUAUUUAGAUUUGGCAUCAGAUUUAAAUUAAAACUCCGGUGGUUUGAGAUGGGCAUGCGUGACAUUAGCUAGUUGGUAAGGUAAUGGCUUACCAAGGCUACGAUGUCUAGGGGUUCUGAGAGGAUGAUCCCCCACACUGGUACUGAGACACGGACCAGACUCCUACGGGAGGCAGCAGUGAGGAAUAUUGGUCAAUGGGCGCAAGCCUGAACCAGCCAUCCCGCGUGUAGGAAGACUGCCCUAUGGGUUGUAAACUACUUUUAUAAAGGAAGAAACCCUCUUACGUGUAAGAGGCUGACUGUACUUUACGAAUAAGCACCGGCUAACUCCGUGCCAGCAGCCGCGGUAAUACGGAGGGUGCAAGCGUUAUCCGGAUUUAUUGGGUUUAAAGGGUGCGUAGGCGGGCCUUUAAGUCAGUGGUGAAAUCCUGCAGCUUAACUGUAGAACUGCCACUGAUACUGAGUUUCUUGAAUCUGAUUGAAGUGGGCGGAAUAUGACAUGUAGCGGUGAAAUGCUUAGAUAUGACAUAGAACACCGAUAGCGAAGGCAGCUCACUAAGUCAGUAUUGACGCUCAUGGACGAAAGCGUGGGGAGCGAACAGGAUUAGAUACCCUGGUAGUCCACGCCGUAAACGAUGAUCACUAGUUAUUGGCGAUACACUGUCAGUGACUAAGCGAAAGUGUUAAGUGAUCCACCUGGGGAGUACGAUCGCAAGGUUGAAACUCAAAGGAAUUGACGGGGGCCCGCACAAGCGGUGGAGCAUGUGGUUUAAUUCGAUGAUACGCGAGGAACCUUACCAGGGCUUAAAUGCAGAAUGACAGUUUGAGAAAUCAGAUUUUCUUCGGACAUUUUGCAAGGUGCUGCAUGGUUGUCGUCAGCUCGUGCCGUGAGGUGUCAGGUUAAGUCCUAUAACGAGCGCAACCCCUAUCUUUAGUUGCCAGCGGGUCAUGCCGGGGACUCUAAAGAAACUGCCAGCGCAAGCUGUGAGGAAGGUGGGGAUGACGUCAAAUCAUCACGGCCCUUACGUCCUGGGCUACACACGUGCUACAAUGGUAACGACAGAGGGCAGCCACCACGCGAGUGGGAGCGAAUCCUUAAACAUUAUCUCAGUUCGGAUUGGAGUCUGCAACUCGACUCCAUGAAGCUGGAAUCGCUAGUAAUCGCGCAUCAGCCAUGGCGCGGUGAAUACGUUCCCGGGCCUUGUACACACCGCCCGUCAAGCCAUGGAAGCUGGGGGUGCCUGAAGUCGGUGACCAUUUAGGAGCUGCCUAGGGUGAAACUAGUGACUGGGGCUAAGUCGUAACAAGGUAACC
RNAcentral lists this ribosomal RNA (1486 nucleotides) under uncultured prokaryote. RNAcentral describes it as "partial 16S ribosomal RNA". It matches the Rfam family "Bacterial small subunit ribosomal RNA". The record is from RNAcentral.